UACUGCAUUUUUUCUUACACAUGUGUUUUUCUUUUUGAAAACUUUGCUUUGGUAGGCCUUCUAUAUGGGGCCUGCCAGAGAUUAAACUCAACCAAAUUUUAUUUAAUGUCAACCGAUUAUUUAAUAGUCAAAACUUUCAACAACGGAUCUCUUGGUUCUCGCAUCGAUGAAGAACGCAGCGAAAUGCGAUAAGUAAUAUGAAUUGCAGAUAUUCGUGAAUCAUCGAAUCUUUGAACGCACAUUGCGCCCUUUGGUAUUCCAAAGGGCAUGCCUGUUUGAGCGUCAUUUCUCCCUCAAACCCUCGGGUUUGGUGUUGAGCGAUACGCUGGGUUUGCUUGAAAGAAAGGCGGAGUAUAAACUAAUGGAUAGGUUUUUUCCACUCAUUGGUACAAACUCCAAAACUUCUUCCAAAUUCGACCUCAAAUCAGGUAGGACUACCCGCUGAACUUAAGCAUAUCAAUAAGCGGGAG
This 470-nucleotide ribosomal RNA is filed under the name Lodderomyces parapsilosis. RNAcentral's name for it is "eukaryotic LSU rRNA". The stretch from base 132 to 285 matches the Rfam family "5.8S ribosomal RNA". The record is from RNAcentral. Lineage: Eukaryota; Fungi; Ascomycota; Pichiomycetes; Serinales; Debaryomycetaceae.